RNAcentral lists this ribosomal RNA (256 nucleotides) under uncultured bacterium. RNAcentral describes it as "partial 16S ribosomal RNA". It matches the Rfam family "Bacterial small subunit ribosomal RNA", at positions 99 to 353 of the family's 1533-position model. The record is from RNAcentral.
CGGACGGGUGAGUAACGCGUGGGUAACCUGCCUUAUACAGGGGGAGUAACAGUCAGAAAUGGCUGCUAAUACCGCAUAAGCGCACAGAGCUGCAUGGCUCAGUGUGAAAAACUCCGGUGGUAUAAGAUGGACCCGCGUUGGAUUAGCUUGUUGGUGGGGUAACGGCCCACCAAGGCGACGAUCCAUAGCCGGCCUGAGAGGGUGAAGGCCACAUUGGGACUGAGACACGGCCCAGACUCCUACGGGAGGCAGCAUG